RNAcentral lists this transfer RNA (69 nucleotides) under Ictidomys tridecemlineatus (thirteen-lined ground squirrel). RNAcentral's name for it is "Spermophilus tridecemlineatus (thirteen-lined ground squirrel) tRNA". It matches the Rfam family "tRNA". From Rfam's summary of the family: Transfer RNA (tRNA) molecules are approximately 80 nucleotides in length. Their secondary structure includes four short double-helical elements and three loops (D, anti-codon, and T loops). The record is from Rfam by way of RNAcentral. RNAcentral also lists the same sequence under 1 other name. Lineage: Eukaryota; Metazoa; Chordata; Mammalia; Rodentia; Sciuridae.
GGGUUUGUGGCUCAGUGGUAGAGCACUUGCCUCACAUGCAUGAGAUACUGGGUUCAAUCCUCAGCCCCA